Long non-coding RNA from Seriola aureovittata, 7043 nucleotides. RefSeq lists it as uncharacterized. The record is from RefSeq and is a predicted model, not a curated record. Lineage: Eukaryota; Metazoa; Chordata; Actinopteri; Carangiformes; Carangidae. The transcript is spliced from 2 exons.
AUUUCAGUGGAUAAAAGAUAAUGGAAUGGAUAAAAGAAUCUUAUUAAAUGGUGUAAUAUGAUGAAUAAGGUUCAUUUUCAGAAUUUAGACAGCAGCUCAGGACUAUUAGCCACCAUAGACAGUAUGUCAGUAAUCUAAUAUUAAAUUCUCAUAGUGUGAUGUGAUUUUAAAAUUCUGGUGGUCCUUCAAUAUUCAGUAGGUGUUAUAACCCAUUUCCUUUAUCUAAUGAAGAAUACACUACUAGUCAAAAGUUUUAGAACAACCCCAUUUUUUAGUUUUUAGUGAAAUUUAGGUAGCUCAAGUCCAGGGAAUAACUUUAAUUGGUACAAAGGUAAGUAGUAAACUGCCAAAGAUUAAAACAAAGUUUAGGUCACCUAAACUGAGAAAUAAUGUAAACUUAAGUGAGUUAACAACUUUAAGCUAUUUUGCCGCAGUGGAAUUAAGCUUUGAAAGUUGAUGCAAAAAUUCUACAGGUGUCCCAACUCGUAUAAAUUACUUACAAAAAGCCUCUGUCUAUAUAAAGAGAGUGCUGGAACAGAUACAUCUCAGUAGCAUUAUUUGUACAAUAUUGAACUGCAGGAAGUAGUACUGUAUAAUGGUGAGAAAAAGGCAUUUAACAAAGGAUGACAGAACAGUUGGUAAGGUGUUGAUGCUAUAAAACAUGACCCAAAACCUAUGUACAAAUAAUGCUAUUAAGGGUGUACAUUCUGUUCUGCGGUGUUUACAAGUUGUGACACCUGUUGGAAUUUUGUUUUGUACCUUUGGCAGUUUACUGUUUACCUUUGUAACAUUUAAAGUUAUUUGCUGGACUUAAUCUACUUCAAUUUAAAAAAAAAAAAAAAAAAGAAAACUAGAAAAAUUGGGAUGUAACAAAACUUUUGACUGGUAGUGUACUUAUAUUAUGAUAUUAAAAGCCUAUCAUUAAUGUGAUAAUUUCCUCCUUUUAGGCAGGUACAAAGGAGUUGUGUCAUGCUCUCUCUGUCAAUGGAUGGACCCGACGUCAACUGGAAAUUUGUUGGGAGUUGUGGCUUGGAGGACUGCAUUGACAGGAUUGUUCCUGCAGUGUUUAUCACCAAGCUUUACUUAUUGAAAGCUUACUGGCAGGUUCCCCUGACUCCUAGGGCACCGGGCAUCUCUGCUUUUGUUACUCCUGACCAUUUCAUGCUGUACAAUGUAAUGCACUUGGCAUGAAGAAUGCACCAGGCACUCUCCAGCGCCAUAUGCAUGUAGUGUUAAGGGAUGUGCCCCAGUGAAAGGUGUACCUCAACGAUGUGGUAGUGUAUUCCAGCUUGUUGCCAGCUUGAGGAUAGUGUUCCAGUAAUUUGCUUACGCAUUGCUGACCCUUAACCUUUCAAAGUGUGAGUUUGGAAAAGCUACAGUCACUUACCUGGGAAGCAGGCUGGUCAUGGGCAGGUUUGAACAGUCGAGGCCAAGGUGGCAGCUGUGCUCUCCUAUCCGGCCCUCACCACUAGACACGAACUAAGGCGUUUCUUGGACAUGGCUGGGUAUUAUCAGUGUUUUUCAGUGGUAGUGGCACCCAUUGCAAACUUGUGUAGUCCUGCUGUCCCAUUUGUGUGGACUGACAAGUGUCAGCAUAGUUUUUAAGCUGCUAAAUCUGCAGUGCUCCAGUGUUGGCUGCUCCUAACUUCUCUCUGCCGUUUCAGCUGGAAGUUGAUGCCAGCACCUCUGAGGCCAGUGCUGUGCUGCUGCAGGAGGGUAAUGGGGGUGUACACCUCUGUUACAUCUCUGCCAAAUUUAAGCAACAUCAGUUAAACUACUUCAUCAUAGAGAAGGAGACCCUGGCUAUGCAGCUUGCUCUGCAGCAUUUCCUGUGUGUGUUGGGUGCAGCUCUUUUCAGUUAUUGUGAUACAUAACCCUCUUGUUUUCCUUACCUAGAUGUACAAUCACAACCAGUGGCUGAUACGCUGAGAUCAGGCUCAAGAGGGGAGGUGAGAACGUAGUGGCAGAUACUGUCUCGCAGGUAAUGUUGUGUCACAUGAUUGUUUUCCACAAAACUGACCGUCAUUAUUAAUGCGGUGGUGGUUUACUAUUCCAAUCAGUGGGUAUCAGUGGUCUUAUGGGGGGGGGGGUGUUAUGCCAUGGUGUUGUGUUUGUGUGCUGGUGUCAGAGAGCUGCGUGGAGCUGUAGUGAUCGUUCUACUAUUGAUAGUCUCCGUUUUUAUUUGGUUAUUGUAAGUUGGAUUAUCCUAAUUCUCUUUUAUUGUUAGUUUGUGCUACCCAGUGCUCUACUGACUGUAUUUUUGUUGUAGUUUUCUUUUGUGUGUGAAUAGAAUUCCUUAUUAUUUGCUGAAUCUGUUUCCCUGUAUCUGCUCUGUUUGGCCCGCUUUACUAUUUCAUUUAGCUUUCCCCAACCCCUGGACUCUCACAGGGAACGUGACAUUAUGUACAGGCUUAAAGCUAAGGGUGUCACGGCUCUGGCUGUGACUCCAUUUUUUCCUGUGUUCUCUUUUUUCGUAUGUGUCUCCUUCCCCCCUCCUGUAUGUCUAUGUGUGUUUGUCGUGGGUGCGCCUACCUCAUCUGGCACCUGGUUCACCUCUACACCUGACUGCGAUCAUGUCAUCUACCCAGCAGUAUAGGAACCCUGGCUCUCCUGCCACUCAUCGCCAGGAUUCCAGUACCAGUAUCUUGUCAAACCAUCGACUGACGCCGCUUCAGCUCAUUCCCCCAGCCAUUCCAUCCUGCUCAACUGCCUGCCCACCCGCCUGCCCCUGCCUUCACCAGCCCCAUCACCACUUCAUCUUUAUCGCAAUAAAUCCAACAUACUCUCUACAAAUACCAACUGUGUCUGUGUCUGCUUCUGAGUCCAAAACAAGAGCCCUAACAUAACAAUCUGGCUACAAUGGACCCAGCAGACAUAAAUUCACUCUGCCAAGCUUUAACCUCCCAGGGCAACAUGAUAAAGUUCUCUGUGAAGUAGUAGAGAAUCUGCGAGCCCUCUCCUCCAGUUACACUCAACUCAGCAGCCAAAUGGACCAGCUCAACGCCCACCUCAUAGCCUCUUCUGCCACAGCAGCUUCACCAGUUGACAUUCCAACAUCACUCCCCACAUUGCACCUGGAGCAGACCACUCCACCCCCACUAGCCCAUGAGCCUUUCGUUCCGAUCCCUGAACGCUACUCUGGGGAUAUGGGGGUGUGUGAGCGGUUCCUUCUCCAGUGCUCUCUCGUGUUUCAGCAGCAACCUACAACCUACUUCUCAGAUAAGUCACAUAUAGCCUUUAUUGUGGGGUUAAUUACUGAUAAAGCUUCUCAGUGGGCCACAGCUUGAUGGGAAGGGCAGUGUCCUAUUUGUAGUGAUAGUUUUUGACCAUCCUGUUCAGGUAGCAGCUGACUGACUCCUCUCUCCGUCAGGGCUCCAGAUCAGUUGCAAAGUUUGCAGUUGACUUUAGGAUCCUGGCAGCAGUGAGUGGGUGGGAUGAAGCAGGUCACCCAAGAACAAAAAGGUCCCUGUUUGUUCUUGGGUCACCUGAGAAUAUUAAAUAUGAGUUAGCAGCGAGGGAUGAAUCCGAGAAGGAGAUGAGUGGAAAACUGCCUUUAGCCCUUUGGCCUCAUCAGCACCCCUGCAGUUUUUCAAGCCAUGGUCAAUGAUGUCCUCUGUGAAAUGCUGAACCACUUGAUAUUUGUAUAUCUGGAUGACAUACUCAUCUUCUCCUGGAAUCUGGAAGAACACACUCAAUAUGUCAAGUUAGUGCUCUUUCAUCUUCUGGAAAAUAAACUGUUUGUGAAGGCUGAAAAAUGUGAAUUCCACAUAACUUUUGUGAGUUUUCUGGGUUUCAUUAUAGAACAGGGACAGGUGAAGACGGAGCCAGCAAAAGUUCAGGCAGUGGCAGAGUGGUCCAAACCCACUUCAUGGAAAGAGUUGCAGCGGUUCUUAGUAAUUGCCUAUUUCUACAGACGGUUAAUUCGAGUUAAUUAGAUGUAGGCUCAGCUUUUACCAACAGAGUCAGUCUGAUAUCAGACCAUUCAGACUUUCAAAUCUAAACUUAAAAUAUAUUAUUAUGCCUUAACUUUCAGUUAGCUUCCUAUUCUUUUACAAACUCAGGCUUUGUACCUGUUGCCAUCCUACCACCAGCAGUUGGGCCUCAGUCUCAAUAAAUCAGUAAACUGAGUAUAAUAUAGUCCAGGUUGUUCUGCCGACGAGGUCACUGUAAACUUUUUGAUUAGACUGCAUCAUUCUAACUGUUUCCUCCUUCUCUCUCCUCCCUAUUACUCUCUGCAGGUCCUCCCACCUCCAGAGCUGUAAAGUCUGGAUCUUCAAAUGCAAACCACCUACUGUCCCCAUGACCCUGUGUAACACUUGCUGCUAAACCUGCUAAAAUCGAGGCAGAUGACCGCCCACCCUGAGUACGGUUCUGCUCAAGGUUUCUGCCUCUUAAAAGGAAGGUUUUCCUUGCCAGUGUCGCCUAGUGCUUGCUCUUGGUGGGAAUCGUAGGGUCUCUGAAAAAGUCUAGACCUGCUCUAUUUGGAAAGUGCCUUGAGAUAACAUUUGUUGUGAAUUGGCACUAUACGAAUAAAAAUUGUCUUGACUUGACACUUUGAAACAGCUAUUCACUAGUGCUCCAGUACUGACUCACCCAGAUCCCUCUUUGCAGUUUAUUGUGGAGGCGGAUGCCUGACUCUGAUGUGGGGCUGUCCUCUCUCCAUGGUGGUCUAAGGAUCACAAGCUGCACACCUGUGCUUUCUUCUCCUGGCACCUUUCCCCUGUGGAGUAUUAUGAUGUGGGAAACCGUGAGCUGUUGGCAGUGGUUCUGGCUUGAAGGGGCUGAGUGGCUAUUUGUAGUUUGGACCGACCAUAAAAACCUCUCUUACCUCCAUUCUGCCAAACGCCUUAACUCCCACCAGGCAUGGUGGACUUCGUUCCUUGGAAGGUUAUUCACCCUCAACCACCGUCCUGGUUCACAAAACACCAAACCUGAUGCCCUAUCCCAUCAGUCUGCUCCAGCGAAAUCCAGCUCUGAGCCAGAAACUAUUCUCCCCCCUUCUUGUGAGGUGGCCGCAUCUGCAUGGGAGAUUGAGACCUGCGUCCGGGAGGCACAGCGCUCGUAUCCAGACCCAGGUAAUGGCCCUCCUAACUGUCUGUUUUGUGCCUGAUUCAGUUAGGUCUCAAGUCCUACAAUGGGGUAAUUCUUCUAAGAUCCCCUGCCAUUCGGGCUUCCACUGCACCCUCGCCUUCAUUAAACAGCGGUUCUGGUGGCCAUCCAUGACCUGUGAGACCCAUGCCUUCAUGGCAGCCUGCUCCGUCUGUGCGCACAGCAAGGCCUCACAUCACCGCCCAACAAGUCUUCUGUGCCCUCUGCCCAUCCUCCACAGGUAUGUCCCCCUUCAUGGCCUCUCUAGGCUCAGCCACCUCUUUUCUCAGUCCAGUGUGGCGGUCCCAUCAGUCCAGGCUAACAUCCAAAGGUGUCGUCGGAUUUGGAGGGAGGUCCGCUCUGCUCUUCUCCAUUCUGCUGCUUGGAACCAACGCCUGGCUGACUGCCCUUCCCUGUGCCCAAUUUCCGACCCGGUCAGAAGGUAUGGCUUUCCUCCCGUGACUUACCCCUUUAGGUGGAGUCCUGUAAGUUGGCCCGAUACAUUGGACCCUUUGAAGUGGACAAGAUCAUUAAUCCCACUGCUGUAAAGUUAAAGCUGCCUUCUUCUCUGAAUAUCCAACCAACCUUCCAUAUGUCACUGCUUAAGUCUGUCUCUUCCAGCCCUUUGUUCCCUCCAGCUGAUCCCCCUCCAACCCACCUGCAUCAUCGACGAUCACCCUGCCUUCACUGUUCGGCGGAUUUUGGAUGUCCGCCACUGGGGCCAGGGGUUCCGGUUCUUGGUGGAUUGUAGGGUUAUGGCCCAGAGGAAUGCUCGUGGGUUCUGCGCAGCUUCAUUCUGGAUGCCUCCCUCACUUGGGACUCUCAUUGGGAGCAUCUGGACAAUCCUGAGGCACCUGAAGGCACCUGUUGGGGGGGGGGUCCUGUCACGUGACAGGCAAAGACAUAGACCGGCUACUUUUCAAAUUUUAAUGGAAAAAUAAAUAUAAAACGCAAAAAUCAGCCAUCAUAUGAGAGCGGGGGUUUCAAUUUUCUGGACUUCAAUACCUUGAACAACACCUUUUUUUAAGAUUAAUUGGGUCAAGCAAUUCUUUAAAAAAAUUAAACUCAAUAUGGAAUUAUAUUGACAAUCAUAUAAUUUCUGAAAUUGGUGGUUUAACAUUUCUAUUGGUUUGCAACAUUGAAAAACUUCCUGUUUGCCUUUCUAACUUCAACAAACAAGCGCUGCUUGCAUGGUCUAUUAUUUAUAUAUAUAUAUAUAUAUAUAUAUAUAUAUAUAUAUAUAUAUAUAUAAUUUUUCACAGCACCACUACUAUAUAUGGAAUAAUAGAGAUAUACUUUAAAAAAAACACAACUCUAUUUUUCAAGGAUUCCUUUAAUAAUAACAUUGUCUUGCUAUUCCAUCUGGUGUAUAUUUAAGGCUUGUACAUCAGUUUCUGCUCUUGAUGUUCCUUGUACUGAUGUAGCUGUCUCACCAAUUGGAAAAGUGUGCUUUAACCAACCUGUUCGUAAGAACAAUCACCAGAUCUGUGCUUUAUUUCAGUGUGAUAUCGUUUCUUAUUCAACUAGUAAAGCUUUUUGGAACAGUCGUGUUAAGAAUUUAUGCUGGAAAAACAUUUAGGGACUCCCAUGAAAAUUAUUUUUGGUCAAUAAGGUGAAGGAGGUUUCAUUUAAAAUCAUUCACCGAUGUUAUCCAGUGAGAUCUCUUUUUGUUAAAUACAGAAAUGAUAUUGACAUAAGCUGUGCCUUCUGUGGUUGUCAUACUGGGACUGUAGUCCAGCUGUUCUGGAAGUGUAUACAUACCCGUAAACUGUGGCAAGAUAUAAAUUUAUCCUGGACAAUAUUACUUGUAGCUUUAGAUUCUAUUUGAAAAUCAAUUUUUUUGGUUUCUUAAAGAUCAAUACAGAACGAUUCUUAUCAAUCUCAUUAUAUUUUUUGCAACGUUUUACAUGCAUAAAUGUAAAUUUGACAAAAUAAAUUGUAUAUUAAUAACAAUA